GGGUUGUGAGGUUAAGCGACUAAGCGUACACGGUGGAUGCCCUGGCAGUCAGAGGCGAUGAAGGGCGUGCUAAUCUGCGAUAAGCGCCGGUAAGGUGAUAUGAACCGUUAUAACCGGCGAUACCCGAAUGGGUAAAUCCAGUGUGACUCGUCACACUAUCUUUAACUGCAUCCAUAGGUUCAUGAUGCGAACCGGGGGAACUGAAACAUCUAAGUAC
Molecule: ribosomal RNA, 217 nt
Filed under: Salmonella enterica subsp. enterica serovar Schwarzengrund
Lineage: Bacteria; Pseudomonadati; Pseudomonadota; Gammaproteobacteria; Enterobacterales; Enterobacteriaceae
Description: partial 23S ribosomal RNA
Rfam family: Bacterial large subunit ribosomal RNA
Source: RNAcentral